UAAUUAUACUGCUCAGCGGAAGUCAAUUAUCCUUGCUAGUAGGUUCCCAUUCCUUCUGAUGGCUUUUGGAAUAAUUAUUAAGCAACUAGAAAUAAAAGGAAAAUCCUUUAGUAAUUUUACAUGAAUGCUACCUUGUGAUGUAUUGACUACCCAUAUGUAUUACAGCUCUUAUACUGGCAUUUUCAAGGAUACAUUAAAAUGCUCUUACAACAACUGAUCAUUUAAAUGUCAUGUUGUUGCUCUGUUGAAAGCCAAUUUCUUUGAGUAAUGCUCCCUUCCUUCUUUCUGCUGUUAUAAUGGAG
This 302-nucleotide unclassified non-coding RNA is filed under the name Hevea brasiliensis (rubber tree). The record is from RNAcentral. Lineage: Eukaryota; Viridiplantae; Streptophyta; Magnoliopsida; Malpighiales; Euphorbiaceae.